RNAcentral lists this ribosomal RNA (253 nucleotides) under uncultured bacterium. Its description in RNAcentral is "partial 16S ribosomal RNA". It matches the Rfam family "Bacterial small subunit ribosomal RNA", at positions 524 to 776 of the family's 1533-position model. The record is from RNAcentral.
UACGGAGGGUCCAAGCGUUAUCCGGAAUCAUUGGGUUUAAAGGGUCCGCAGGCGGUUUGUUAAGUCAGUGGUGAAAUCCUAUCGCUCAACGAUAGAACUGCCAUUGAUACUGACAGACUUGAAUUUAGUUGGAGUAGGCGGAAUGUGUAGUGUAGCGGUGAAAUGCUUAGAUAUUACACAGAACACCGAUAGCGAAGGCAGCUUACUAAACUAAAAUUGACGCUCAUGGACGAAAGCGUGGGGAGCGAACAGG